RNAcentral lists this ribosomal RNA (1097 nucleotides) under Klebsiella sp. RNAcentral describes it as "bacterial SSU rRNA". The record is from RNAcentral. Lineage: Bacteria; Pseudomonadati; Pseudomonadota; Gammaproteobacteria; Enterobacterales; Enterobacteriaceae.
GCAAGUCGAGCGGUAGCACWRAGAGCUUGCUCUCGGGUGACGAGCGGCGGACGGGUGAGUAAUGUCUGGGAAACUGCCUGAUGGAGGGGGAUAACUACUGGAAACGGUAGCUAAUACCGCAUAAYGUCGCAAGACCAAAGUGGGGGACCUUCGGGCCUCAUGCCAUCAGAUGUGCCCAGAUGGGAUUAGCUAGUAGGUGGGGUAACGGCUCACCUAGGCGACGAUCCCUAGCUGGUCUGAGAGGAUGACCAGCCACACUGGAACUGAGACACGGUCCAGACUCCUACGGGAGGCAGCAGUGGGGAAUAUUGCACAAUGGGCGCAAGCCUGAUGCAGCCAUGCCGCGUGUGUGAAGAAGGCCUUCGGGUUGUAAAGCACUUUCAGCGGGGAGGAAGGCGRURAGGUUAAUAACCUYRKCGAUUGACGUUACCCGCAGAAGAAGCACCGGCUAACUCCGUGCCAGCAGCCGCGGUAAUACGGAGGGUGCAAGCGUUAAUCGGAAUUACUGGGCGUAAAGCGCACGCAGGCGGUCUGUCAAGUCGGAUGUGAAAUCCCCGGGCUCAACCUGGGAACUGCAUUCGAAACUGGCAGGCUAGAGUCUUGUAGAGGGGGGUAGAAUUCCAGGUGUAGCGGUGAAAUGCGUAGAGAUCUGGAGGAAUACCGGUGGCGAAGGCGGCCCCCUGGACAAAGACUGACGCUCAGGUGCGAAAGCGUGGGGAGCAAACAGGAUUAGAUACCCUGGUAGUCCACGCCGUAAACGAUGUCGAUUUGGAGGUUGUGCCCUUGAGGCGUGGCUUCCGGAGCUAACGCGUUAAAUCGACCGCCUGGGGAGUACGGCCGCAAGGUUAAAACUCAAAUGAAUUGACGGGGGCCCGCACAAGCGGUGGAGCAUGUGGUUUAAUUCGAUGCAACGCGAAGAACCUUACCUGGUCUUGACAUCCACAGAACUUUCCAGAGAUGGAUUGGUGCCUUCGGGAACUGUGAAGACAGGUGCUGCAUGGCUGUCGUCAGCUCGUGUUGUGAAAUGUUGGGUUAAGUCCCGCAACGAGCGCAACCCUUAUCCUUUGUUGCCAGCGGUUCCGGCCGGGAACUCAAAG